CUAGCACCAUUUGAAAUCGGU
This 21-nucleotide microRNA is filed under the name Python bivittatus (Burmese python). Its description in RNAcentral is "pbv-miR-29a-3p". Its record names the gene pbv-miR-29a-3p. The record is from miRBase by way of RNAcentral. Lineage: Eukaryota; Metazoa; Chordata; Lepidosauria; Squamata; Pythonidae.